UAGAGUAACAGUUUCAAAUGCAGUUCUAUAGUUAAGCCAUAGGAUUUCACAUCUGACUUGCUACCCCGCCUACGCGCUCUUUACGCCCAGUGAUUCCGAGUAACGCUUGCACCCUCCGUAUUACCGCGGCUGCUGGCACGGAGUUAGCCGGUGCUUAUUCCUAAGAUACCGUCAUAAUCUUCUCUUAGAAAAGGAGUUUACAAUCCUAAAACCUUCAUCCUCCACGCGGCGUUGCUGCUUCAGGCUUUCGCCCAUUGAGCAAUAUUCCCUACUGCUGCCUCCCGUAGGAGUCUGGACCGUGUCUCAGUUCCAGUGUGUCCGAUCACCCUCUCAGGCCGGAUACCCGUC
Molecule: ribosomal RNA, 348 nt
Filed under: uncultured Helicobacter sp.
Lineage: Bacteria; Pseudomonadati; Campylobacterota; Epsilonproteobacteria; Campylobacterales; Helicobacteraceae
Description: partial 16S ribosomal RNA
Source: RNAcentral